UCUGAAAAGGAAGUCCUUUUCAGACUUCCUUUUCCAGAGGAAAAGAAGAGAUGCGAAUAACAAAUAAUUUCUGGAAUUCACUGAAAUAAAAACCUAUUAUAGAUGUAUCAAGUGUCAUGAUUUCUGGUGGAAUUUCAGGCACCCUGGUGAAAAAAAAUGACACAUUUUCAUGACUUAUGUAGCUUUUUGUAUCAUAAACUUUAUUUUAUGCAAAGAAGGGGGGCAUUUUUUUUUUGCCAAGCUCCCUGUAGUCAUCAGGAUAGUCCCUGUAUUAUACAGUCCCUGUACUACAUAGAACCUACCCUCUUCCGUUCAUUUAUGUAAAAAAUAUUCAUUGAGUAUCUUCUCUGUGUCUUGUUCUGUAGGAGCUAGAAACAUAAACAGACCCUGCCCUCAAGGGACUUCAAGUCUAAUAGGAGAGGUGGACAAAUGCCUAUUGUUUAUACUCAUGGAAGGCCAGGAAAAAAAGGAAGAAGAAGAAGAAGAGAAAGAAGAUAUGGAUUCAGUUUCAUUCUUUUGUUGGGAGGAGUGAGUCAGGCUGAUGGUAGCAAUGGCCUCUAAAAAGUUUGAUAUCUAACUGACAUAAUAAACUGCAUGCAUUUGAAGUAUGAAGUUUGAUAUUUUUUGAAAUACAUAUAUACCUGUGAAAUCAUAACGACAGUCAAGAGGGUGUAUAUAUUCGUCACUUUCAAAAGUCUUCUACUGCCUUUCCCUGAGUCCUCCAAAGCAACUAUAGGUUAGUUGGAACUUUCUAAAACCAUGUGAAAAUGCAGUCACACAGUAUGUAUUAUUGUUUUAUAUCUGACUUCUUUCACUCAGUGUAAUUAUUUCAGGUUCAUCCAUGUUGUAUGUACCAACAGUUCUUUCUACUGCUGCGUAGUAUUCCAGUGUGUGUGUGUGUGUGUGUGUGUGUGUGUGUGUGUGUCACAAUUUGUCCACUCACCAUUUUAUGGAUGUUUGGUUAUGUCUAGUUUUGGGCUAUUACAAAUAACAUCUAUCAAUAUUUGUGUACAAGUUUUUGUGUACACAUGUGCUUUUAUUUCUCUUAAAAAAUACCUAGGAAUGGAAUGUCUGGGUCCUAUUUUAGGUACAUGUUUAACCUUUUAAGAAACUGCAAAAUAUUUUCCAAAGCAUUUGUAUCAUUUUACUACCAGCAGUGCUGGGAGCAGUUCCAGUUGCUCCAGAUCAUCCCCAACUUUUGAUAUGGUCAGAAAUUGACAUAGUCUCUCACAUAUUUACAGUUCAUGAUCCAGUGUAAAGGAGAACAUGUACUUUCUAAUGCCAUAUAUAAAAUACAGUAGCGCCCCCCCACCUGUCUGUGGAGGAUAUGUUCCAAGACCCCCAGUGGAUACCUAAAACUGUAGAUCGUAUACUGAACCUUACAUAUACUAUGCUUUUUCCUAAACGUACAUCCCUGUGGUAAAGUUCAAUUUAUAAAUUAAGCACAGUAAGAGAAUAACAAAAAUAACUUAUAAUAAAAUAGAACAAUUAUAAUAAUAUUCUAUAAUAAGAGUUAGGUAAGUGUGGUCUUUCCCUCUCAAAAUAUUAUAUUGACCUCUACUCACCCGUCUUCUUCUUGUAAUGAUGUGAGAUGAUAAAAUGAAAUGAGGUUGAAUGGCAUAAUUUGUCAUAACUGUAGGCUACUGUUGACCUUCUGACAAUACAGAAGGAGGUAUGAAGGAGGAUCAUUCGCUUCUGGACCAUGGUUAACUAUAGGGAUCAAGACAGGAAGGGGAAUAGUGGUUCAAGAUAAAAGACCUGGAGUGUAUAGUGCUACCACUAAGAAACCUCUGUGCUGACCCAGAAGUACUCAGUGUGAGAAUCCUUCAGACUGCAACAGGAUCCACCACCCUUUCUGGGAAGGAAGAGCUUGGGCUCUCUGCUUGGGAAGGAGCAAUCUAUUUAAAUUUGGCGGCUGCUGCUUAAAUGAAUAGGUCCCUGUACAGUAGGAAACAGCAUCUGGCGCAGUCCCUCUUCAGGGCUGAAGAUCAAGCACACACUCCGCUGGAGGCCUUCUGUGAUCCCAACACCUCCCUCAGAUGGAGCAGAACUUGUCUGCCCUCCUCAGCACAUCAGCCCUAAUGAUGCUGAAGUCCAUGAAAGAUAAUUGCCUUGAGUCAUUCUCUAGCCACAGAGAAGGUAAGAUUAAUAAAGAACAUUUGUUAUAAUUUUGCAACCAAUUUAUGUAAUGGAACUCAUAAUAAAUAACCACAUUUAACACAAGCAUUCAUCAAAGCCAAUUUACACAUCAAUUUCUUCACUAUGUGUUAAACCAACCAUUUAUAAGAAGAAGUUGGUUUCUUCCUGUGUCCCCUUUUCUCUCUGUUAAAGUAAAAAUUACUGGUAGAUAUGGUAAUUUGGGGGGCUUUUAUACAGGCAGCAUUGAUAGUGAUAUAUAUUACUUCUCAGCUAUUGAUACAUGAUGUAUAAUUUUGCACAGCAUGUUGCUUCUGUCUGGACUAAGAGCAAAUUAUUGUUUUUAAAAUAUAAAACCAUUAUUGAUAGUCUUUUCUUCUCUCAAUAACUUGUCACCUCAGGUGAGUACAGUUCACCAUAAGAGAGGCUUUGUAUUUUCAUAGACUGUCAUGUCUUAAUUAUUCACAGAAAAAGGGACAGGUGCAGUCUACUAAAUGAAAUUCACAAAUUAUCUCCAAGCAUUUUAUUAAUUAAACACCAUUUAAUUAAUAAACCAUUUUCAAGUUACCCUAUUCCCAAGCUUUCGCUAACAUCGUCACCUCUGAUGUUUUUAUCUUCCCACUGCUGCAAGGAUAUGAUGGCUCUCAUCUGUGUAUAUCCUAGAAAAUUCUGCCACUAUAUAGUCACAAGUCUGUGUAAAAGGAAAAAAUGGAUCCCAAUCUGUAUUCACAAAGAAAAAUUGAAGUCAAAAUUGUUGCUGAUGUGUGAAACAAACUUAAAUAAGAAAAAGACCAGUCAUAAAUGGUUAGCGGUGCCCAUUGUGGUAGGCCAAAUAAUGCCCCCCUUAAAGUGUCCAUAUUUUAAUUACAGGAGCCUAUGAAUAUCUUACCUUACGCAGCAAAAAGGAAUUGGCAAAUGUAAUUAAAUUAAGGCUCUUGAGAUGAGGAUGUUAUCCUGGAUUAUUGAUGUAAUCACAAAGGAUUCUUAUGAGAAGAAAGCAGAAGGUCAGAAUUAGAAAAAUGGAGAUAUGUUAAUAGAGGGGGAGGUGGGAGGUAUGCAGGGUUAUGAGCUGAGGAAUAUGAGCAACCUCUAGAAGCCAUAAAAUAACCAUAUUCCUAUGGCAUUCCUCAUUUAUACCUUUGAACAAGGACCAUGUGUAUCUUUGUUCAGAGGUACCAAAUAUUCCUAUCAUGUCAGUCCAUAAGGUAGACUUAUGGAAGAGUAAUAAGAGAUACUUGGGAUCAAAGUCUCUGUUUGAAGAACAUAUUUGAUGAUGUUUCUGGGAAUUGAUACUGUUGUUAUAAAGAUGGCAGUCACAUUGAGAGUGAUAUAACUCACUUCCCUUCUACUUCUUAUUUUUCAACCUUAGAAAGUUAUUUUUACCAUGAAGGCAAUGUCUAAAUAUUCAGUAAGGUAUUUCUGAAUGACUCUUGCUUUGGGAAGAGCAUAAAAUGCUAGUCUUUAAGUAUUGAAUGCAAUAAAUUAUACUCUAAUUUACCACUUCAGUAUGUCUUGUAAUGUCAAAUUUUGCCUGUUGCUUAUCAAUCUGGCUCUCAUAGUAUGAACUACAAUUCACUUUUUGUCUUUUUUGCUAGUAGUUUCAUGUAUGUUAAUCUUAUUUCCCUCCAGAGGUAAAGUUUCUUAGAUAGACCAGGUGUUCUAUGUCCUUAAGAAGCCCUCCAUAAAUUUUUGAUUGGUUAAAAAUAGACUGUAUUUUAUUUAAACCACAGUUUUAUCAGUGCUUUUGUCUGAGAUAGGUCAUUAAUUGUUCUUUCAGUCUAACGAUACUGAGGUUAAGUGUUUGAAACAAAUGACAUCUUCAGGAUUGUUUCACACAGUUGCUUUUUCUUCUGAAUUUGUACUAAUUCUUUUGAAUUUUAUCUCUCAAAAAUGAUUUUACUAUAUUAAACAAUAAUUAAUUCUAAAAAUAAGUCUUAUUCUCUCCCUUGAAAAGGAAGGGGUCUUAAUCCUUUUCUAAGGAACUUCUUAAUCCUUAUUUCAAUAUUUUUAUGUCUUAGAACUGACAUGUUGAUUUCUAAUGUCUUUCUAAGACAAUGGCUUCUUUUUCUUUUUAAAGUUUAUUUACUUGUUUUGAGAUAGAGUGAGCAUGUGUGUGCAGUGGGGGGCGAGAGAGAAAAGGAGGGAGAGAAUCCCAAGCAGGCUUCAUGCUGUUGGCACAGAGCCUGAUGCAGGGCUUAGUCUCACAAACCAUGAGAUCAUGACCUGAGCUGAAAUCAAGAAUAAGACACUUAAUGGACUAUGCCACCCAGGUGCCCCUAAGACAAUGGUUUCUGACCUUGAGUCACAAACUCCAGAAGGUCUGUGAAGGUGUUGCAUGUAGGUUCUGAGAUGCCCAAGGCAGCUGCAUGUUUGAGGGUAUGGGCGGGGUUCAUGGCUGAUGCCAAAAAUCCCACAGCCUCUCUUGCUUUUUGCUCCAGAUAGAUCGUAUAGGCCACUUCAUAACCCCUUACCCCUAAUGUCACAUACCAGUUACUCUGAUUUAGUUUGGUGCUAAAUGAAUUUGUAAAGCACGUAAGAAGAUGUAAUAUCACCAAACAAGUCCACAUGCUGAAAAUACCAGACCUAUGUAUCCACGUGGCUACAUUAAGCCAGAAAAUUCAAAACGAUUCCUUAAUCUCUCAUCAGACCUAUAAAUAUGAGAUUUCUUCCCAUUUCAUGGAAAUUCUCCAAUGAACAGUAACUAUAGUCACUGGGGUUAUUGUUUGAAAAGACAAUAAGCUUCCACCUGUCUUAGCAAAAAUAAAUUAAUAAGUAAUUUUAAAAAUAGGAGCAAAAGCCACAUGGUUCUAGUGUUGGUAGCUAUAGUGGUGGUUUCUAGUGAGCAGAAGUAGCAGAACUUCUGUGGUCCAUUACACAGUGUAGGCAGAGGCCUAGAGUCUUUUCCUUAAUCUUCCAAAUAUUCUGUGAACUAUAGAAUCUUCAGCCCAUUCUGCUUAAUCUAUCAGGUUCUGUGGUCUGCCAUGAGCACACCAUUUAAUCCAGAAAAGUGGGGAAAAAAAAAACACCUUACAAGGCAUAAAGAAAGAGAAGACAACUGUAAGAACUAAACUUUUUGUGACAGUUGACUUUCUUCUGAGCACAGCCAUUAAUCCUGCUGUCAGCAGGAAUAAAGAUUCUUCCUGAAAAAGGUGAAAAGCUGCAUUCUUGUAACAGUGAGUGGUGGUGGCAUGCAGAUGAGAAGGAGCCUUCAGAGCCCAGACCUCCUAUUUGUUAACUCUACUUCAAAACUUCAAUAAAAUAAGCAUUUUGGUUUUUAUUUAUUUAAAAAAAUUUAAUGUUUAUUUAGUUUGGAAGGAGAAAGAGACAGGUCGUAAGCUGGGGAGGGGCAGAGAGAGAGGGAGACACAGAAUCCAAAGCAGGCUCCAACCUCUGAGUUGUCAGCACAGAGCUCCAAGUGGGGCUCCAACUCACGAACUGUGAGAGCAUGGCCGGAGCUGAAGUUGGACACUUAAU
Molecule: long non-coding RNA, 5610 nt
Organism: Acinonyx jubatus (cheetah)
Lineage: Eukaryota; Metazoa; Chordata; Mammalia; Carnivora; Felidae
Exons: 7
Source: RefSeq, a predicted model, not a curated record